Molecule: long non-coding RNA, 993 nt
Organism: Gasterosteus aculeatus aculeatus (three-spined stickleback)
Lineage: Eukaryota; Metazoa; Chordata; Actinopteri; Perciformes; Gasterosteidae
Source: Ensembl
UGAGAAUCAAACUGUUUCAGAAUGUUUCCUUCUAAUGGAACUCGACCUUAAAAAGGACAAUAGCACCUCAGCCAGCAGGAGGUGUUUGAUCUUCACCAUAUGGCUCUUUGGAUUGCAGGUCUGCUACCCAUUCACCAACCUCCUGCCGACAGCACAGGGGUAAACCGUCUCUCUGCUGUGAGCGUCUACUGCUGACCACCGAGACGGAGACAGUACUACAGAGGGGUGAGAUGCCAGCGGGAGUUGUUGCAUUCACCAGCAAAUCUUUGACCCGCCGAUUCCGCAACAGGGGAGGCCAAUUUCAUGCAGCAGUCGGCUUCUAUUACGAAAAACCUGAAGCAUCAGUUCCAACAGGCACAAAGGAAGAAGUGCGCCUUCGGGGCCCGUCCGCCUGAACGGGUUCUUUUCAAGACAAAACAGGAUCUUUUCCUAAACGCUAAACAGUUUUUCUGCCGAAAAAAAAGCCCCCCGAAGGCAAACUCCUCCCUCGCGCUUCCAACAACAGGACGAGACGCCUGCUGGCGGCAUCGAAGCGACGAGGAGAAGCCGGUGCGAUCAGUGGAAAUCUCACCGGAGCCCACUUGGUUCCUGCAGCACAAAAACAGACACGACUCGUUGCAUAGUUACAUUUAUCUCCAUCAGAGGUCAGUGAACUCGUCAAUGCAAAGGUUGGACACGGCUUAGCAGAACUGUACAGUAAACGUGGCAACGUCCUUAAAGGAGGAACAUGAGACAUCGUCCACACCGGAGCAUUUUUUACCUCGUGUCGAAGGUCAGACGCGAUCUACACUGACAGCAAUGUCAGUCUAAAUCUAAGCUGCUCAUUUCCCAUCACCAAAGGUCAAGCAAUCAUACGACCAUUCAGCGUGUUCAUGGGGGAGCUGGAAGGUUUCUCAGAGCGCUCGCCACCAACACGCCACCAACCUUCUGCGGGUUCAGCGUCGUAAACAUCUGACCCGCACGGCUCUAUUUGGAUUCGUGACUUUCUCUCCA